Athene cunicularia (burrowing owl) is the source of this 1294-nucleotide long non-coding RNA. RefSeq lists it as uncharacterized. The transcript is spliced from 4 exons. The record is from RefSeq and is a predicted model, not a curated record. Lineage: Eukaryota; Metazoa; Chordata; Aves; Strigiformes; Strigidae.
CAAGCUGUAGGAUCAGCCAGCAACAAUAUUGAGGACAGGGGAAAAAGGAGAUGCUACUGUGAUCUCUGUAGAAAGCAGUAAGGCAGUGGAGCAAUGAACUUCUCCUUCCAUCCAGAUCCAGUCUUGUGGUCUGAGGCUGGUUUUCUCUUCAGAUGGAAGAAGAAUUCUCUCACAUAAACAUUUGUAAAGGCACCGUAUUAAUAUUGAGAUCAUGAAGACUUAGAAGAACUUGUUUCCCCAAUUAUAGCAUUUAUGUGAGGUGAGAAACAAGAGACCUGCAUGAUUAUCUGGGCCUCAGAAUUGUGAGAAGAAAUGUUAUCACCUUAAUAAGAAGACUAUCAGAGACCCUCCAGCUCUCAGGCAAGGAGAGAGACCAGACCAAUUAUCCUGAUUCAGCCUCAGAAAUAAUGGACUUGAAUGGAAUUUCAAAGCAUGCUGAAGGACACUGGAAGUGAAUGAGAAGCUGAGGAGUUAGUGAACCAUCAUUAUUGUACAUUGGCCUUUGUGUACACUAGCCAGCAAUAAGUACUGUGAUCAACACUGGUUCUCAAGUUAAUAUCCUCUCCUUAUUGCGUAGAUUCUCUCAAUUUUUCUGACCUCUGUUGUCAGUUGAGAAGCAGGGAUAGGAAUUCAAGUGACAAUGGAAAAAACAAACGUUAUGAGAGUGAGAUUAAACAAGGAGUUCCUUCUCCAGGGGCUAUACUGAAGUUGCGUUACAGAUUGACUAUUAUCCAGUUUUAAAUCCAUUUUGAAAUAAUCUUAGAGAGAAGCUAGUUAAUGUGACAUAGCUAAAGCAGAUGCCCCAAGCCUGGCAUGAUGUUGUUUUAGGCUAGGCUUUGGAACUGAAACUCUACAUGGGGGAUCUUGUCAUAUAGGACACAGGGCUCUAAACUGCGAGGAACAUACCUGUGAACUUUGAUGCAGCUGGUUACAUAUUCCCCUAAGCUUCUUAACUGUCGAAUUCUGUAUUUGGUCCUUUUCAGUACCUACUUAAUACCAAAUUCUGUGUCUGCACUAUCUUAAGUGGUCUAAAAAUGAUUCUUGGCAGAAAAGAGUUCACAGUUGUGCACAAGAGCAAACUAGCUCAGUCCAUAGUUUGGUCUUAGAUUCUUCCCUGACACUGAACUCCUGCAAGCAGCAGCUCAGGGUGAAAUCUUCAGUGCUGUUUCUUUGAUGAACUUUCCACAAUCAGAAUUAAAGUAGACUUGGAGAAGAUUGCAUUUUCUGAAUAGCUAGUCUGGACUUUCCUGUGAACUCUUUCAAAGCAAAAGACUAGCCCAAACCUCCUACCAAC